This 1523-nucleotide long non-coding RNA is filed under the name Urocitellus parryii (Arctic ground squirrel). Its description in RNAcentral is "lncRNA (ENSUPAG00010000727.1)". The record is from RNAcentral. Lineage: Eukaryota; Metazoa; Chordata; Mammalia; Rodentia; Sciuridae.
CCCUGUUCAGCCUUUGCCCCCAGUGAGAUUGCCACUGAGGGCUCGGCCAGGCUUUGUGUUCGGAGAGUGAGUGGAAGGCAGAGGGAGGCCGCCAGGCUAAUUGUGCCCUUUGACCUUAUCCAAAUUGGCAGGAGAAAUGCGUGUGAGGGGAUCUCUUCGGGAGAGGAAAGAGGACAAUGCAGGUUAAGUACCACAGAGUGGGGAGCAGAGACAAGUAUCACAGCUCUGACAUUCUGGGCUUCCAACUGCAGUGUGUAAUUAAACUCCAGAGCAUCUGGCUUCCCAAGUUGAAAGAACAAGCUUGGAGGAAUGAAAAAGGAAGAGAAAGAUCCUUCUGGGUUGCCCAUUUGUGCAUCAGCCUCAUUGCCAGCCGUCACACCAGGGGGAUGCAGCAAGAUGCAGCCCCUGAGAGCAGGGCUCAGGCCAGCAGGUGCUUCCCAGCAGGGUUCAGACACUGUGGGGAGUAUUUGAGACUGUGGAGGGGUGAGAGGUCAAGUCAGUACUGCUUUAUGGUUACUGUGAUUUGGAUAUGGUCUGAGUGUCCCUAAAGGUCCACGUUUUAAAGGUUUGAUCUCAGUGUGGUGGUGCUGGGAGGUGUUUGAACCUUUAAGAGGUGGGGCCUAGUGGGGGUCCUUGGGCUAGUGGAGGCUUACCCUCAGAAGGUAUUAACAGUUCCGUGAGAUGGUGGCAGUCCACCUGAUCUUGAAUUUUAAACCUCCAACACUAGGAGCUAAGUAAAUUUAUUUACUUGUAAGUUAACCUGCCUCAUGUAUUUCAUUAUAGUAACWCAAAGCUGACUGAUACAAUGGUCAAACAAUAGAUCAUGUCCUGGACACAAUGAUCCUGGCCACUUUCAAGUACAUGUGACAGAUUGGGGAGCAGUGCCAGGGAGAACUAAAUUGGAAAAGGUGAAAUCGAACACUGUGUUAUGUGAGAAGCAAGACAGUAUAGCUCACAUAUUGUGUGAUGCUAUUUAUAUAAAAUAUCUAGAAUAGGUAAAUUAUAUUCAAAGAGACAGACUGCAGAYUGGUAGAUGCCAGGGGUUGGGGAGAGAGGUACAUGCAGCGUACCUCUUCAUAGGACAUUUCCUUUUGGAGGGAUGAGGUGUUUUGGAACUAGCUGAAAGUAGUGGUUGUACAACACUGUGAAUAUACUAGUUGCCAUUAACUUAUUCACUUUAAAAUAGUUAAUUUUAUGUUAUAUGAACUUUUGUGGCUGUAGCACAGUAGCUUGCACACUGAAACCACCUGGGGAGUUUUAAAAUCCCAAAACCCAGCCCCACCCUUGAUUAAUUAAACUUGACUCUGGGAACAAUAUUUUUAAAGUUUCCCUGGGAGGAUCUAAUGUAGAGUCACUGUGGUAGAUAAAUAUUCAAUGACAUAGAAAGAUGUCUGCUAUAUACUACUAUAAAGUGAAGAAAAGCAAUUAUCUAAGUGUGUACUAUAUCACUUCUUGUGGUAAAUUUCUCAUGCAUGUCAUACACAGACUCACACAUACGAACAAUAAAUGCAGAAGCAAUGACA